GUAGGUGAACCUGCGGAAGGAUCAUUAACACGUACGUUUAACCACCCGUGCACCUUCAUUGGGGACUUGCAACCCCCCGCCGGGGGCAAGUAUCCCAAACCGCGUUCACCUGUGGCGAAAUGACGACGAACGGGUUGAAGAAUCGUCAGAAGCGGCAAGUCUAAAUAAGGAGAUUCGGAUUGCAGUGGGGCUUGGAAAUGGCCCUGGAAUCGCAAAUUGAGGCGAAUUGCCAGAUGCGCUUUUCGGGGGGUGUUCCUGGAGUUUCUUUCUCGCGGGUUGCGCAAGUGGUUGAACCUGACCGCUGGAAAAAUUGACACCAUGACUAACCAACCACGCUCCUACCCCCAACGGGGUCCGGAGUAGGUAACCCCGAACAACUGUUAACAAUAUAUCUUGGCUCUC
Molecule: unclassified non-coding RNA, 402 nt
Filed under: rhizosphere metagenome
Description: partial ribosomal RNA internal transcribed spacer region
Source: RNAcentral